Molecule: ribosomal RNA, 251 nt
Filed under: uncultured bacterium
Lineage: Bacteria
Description: partial 16S ribosomal RNA
Source: RNAcentral
CUGCUGCCUUCCGUAGGAGUCUGGGCCGUGUCUCAGUCCCAAUGUGGCCGGCCACCCUCUCAGGUCGGCUACUGAUCGUCGCCUUGGUGGGCCUCUAUCCCGCCAACUAGCUAAUCAGACGCGGAUCCAUCCCAUACCACCGGAGUUUUUCACACUGGAAUAUGCAUUCCUGUGCGCUUAUGCGGUAUUAGCAGCCGUUUCCGGCUGUUAUCCCCCGGUAUGGGGCAGGUUAUCCACGCGUUACUCACCCG